RNAcentral lists this ribosomal RNA (429 nucleotides) under uncultured archaeon. Its description in RNAcentral is "bacterial SSU rRNA". It matches the Rfam family "Archaeal small subunit ribosomal RNA", at positions 474 to 903 of the family's 1478-position model. The record is from RNAcentral.
CACCAGCAGCCCGAGUGGUCGCCGUUUUUAUUGGGCUUAAAGCGUCCGUAGCCGGAUAGAUUAGUCUCUAGGUAAAUCUUGCGUUCAAGCGUAAGCCUUCUAGAGAUACUGUCUAUCUUGAGGCCGGGAGAGGUUGGAGGUACUCCCGGGGUAGGGGUAAAAUCCUGUAAUCCUGGGGGGACCACCGGUGGCGAAGGCGUCCAACUGGAACGGGCCUGACGGUGAGGGACGAAACCCAGGGGGAGCGAGCCGGAUUAGAUACCCGGGGUAGUCCUGGGCGUAAAUCAUGCGGACUAGGUGUGGGGGAUAUCCACGAGAUAUCUCUGUGCCGAAGGGAAGCCAUUAAGUCCGCCGCCUGGGGAGUACGGCCGCAAGGCUGAAACUUAAAGGAUUGGCGGGGGAGCACCACAAGGGGUGAGGCUGCGGUUU